Molecule: long non-coding RNA, 313 nt
Filed under: Lathyrus oleraceus (garden pea)
Lineage: Eukaryota; Viridiplantae; Streptophyta; Magnoliopsida; Fabales; Fabaceae
Description: Pisum sativum (pea) long non-coding RNA (PSAT_LNC030327)
Source: RNAcentral
CGCCGUUUUGCUUUUUUAUGCACAUAAAUAUAACAUGUAUAAUAAUUUGGUUCAUUGUAUUAUGUAUUUGAUGUGUUUGUUUUUAUAUAAGUUUUACAUGUCUCAUAAUAUAUAAUAUAAUAUAAUAAUAAUUUUGUUGUUAAUAAAAAUGCAUAUGGAUCAUAUAAUAUAUAAUUUAUAAUAUGUAACUAGUGUGUUAAAUAUAUAUAUAUAUAUAUUUCUAUUUUAUGUUAUAAUUUGAUUAUGUUUUCGGAUCGGAUCGUGUCAAUACGCCGUUUUCACAUAUACGUGUAUGAGGCGUGACAUUUGUGUU